Long non-coding RNA from Chroicocephalus ridibundus (black-headed gull), 731 nucleotides. RefSeq lists it as uncharacterized. The transcript has 4 exons. NCBI's taxonomy places the organism in Eukaryota, Metazoa, Chordata, Aves, Charadriiformes, Laridae. The record is from RefSeq and is a predicted model, not a curated record.
GGUGAGAAGGGAGGUGGUGUAGUAGGUAGGGCAGUGAACUGUGGCGGGACAGUGGCCUGGCCUUCAGGUGACCACCAUGGUCGGGCACAGUACCUUCCCCAUGGCCGACGUGGGCCUUGGGGCUGCCAGCCCUUGGGGUUUGGUGGCUUCAUUUGCACCGGAGGAGCAGGCUGAGCACCCCCAGCAGCUGGCCUCAAGGGCGGCCUUGAGGGUUCCCCCCACACACAUACUGAGCUCCAGGGCCUGGCCAGCCACAAACCUCUCCUCUGAGUGGAAAUAUCGGUGUUUACAGCUUCACCUGUGGUAACAUACUGCUAAUAUUGGGCCUUCCAUGGCUUUCAGGUGUGUUGGCAGCUCAAGGUGAGCAUUUAGGAGCCCGGCCUUUGAGUGGGUUUGCUAACGUACCUGAAGUGCACCUGCCUCACCUGGUGUUCCUCCUCGGCUGCUGUGCGGGAAACGUUUAAGGGACACUUACGAAUACUGCCUGUGCCUGAAAGCAAACUGGAAUACAGUUCUAGAAAGCCCAGAUGAAAAAGAUCAAAUCUCUUUCAUAUGCUGCCAGUGCAAGCUUAUUGUUUGUGUGUUUUCAUUAAAGUCUUUGAGCCUGUGGAUAGGUAAUCCUCAAAGGUACCCUUGUGUGAUCACUGAUGGUUAUAUCUAACAGACUGCAUGAUGUGUUAGCAAACAUUAGAGUAAUUCAUGGAAGUCUUGUCACUUUUCUUCUGAUGUCA